Molecule: long non-coding RNA, 580 nt
Filed under: Mus pahari (shrew mouse)
Lineage: Eukaryota; Metazoa; Chordata; Mammalia; Rodentia; Muridae
Description: lncRNA (MGP_PahariEiJ_G0002761.1)
Source: RNAcentral
GAAGUGACCAUUCAGGGGUCUGCUGGUCAAGUUCCCCCCGCACCCCUCCCCCUCCCCACCUUAACCUAAGUCACAGUCAUCUGGAAAGAGAGAACUUCAAUUGAGAAAAUGCUACCAUAAGAUUGAUGUAUAACGCUGGAGAAUUGACUCAGCAAUUGAGAGCAUUUGUUGCUCCUUCAGAGGGCCCAGUGGUGAGCUGCAUUUCCUGAGUGUCAGCAGACUUCCCAGCAGGAAUUCCAGUCUGAUGAAGAAUCAGCCAAAGGAAGUCCUCACUGAGAGACACACUGGUAUCAUUUACUGAGUGGAAACAGUGAAAGAGUAACAUAUUUCUAAAGGGAAUUUACAUUAUUAAUAGUGUGCUUUUGUAGCAACUUACAGAAAUACACUUUCAUCUUUCCAUGGUGGAAGGAGUAAGUAAUUUUCCUCAAAACCCUAGCUUUGUCUCUAAAGCUUUUUCUGUUUUACUCUGCUAUCUCAUCUCUGCGAUGCUAUUCAUAACUGCAUCACUGUCUUCCUAAACAUAAAAUAACUAAGUCUUCACCUGAGCGACUGUGAUGCCGUAUGUUCUAGCAGUAGCUCC